Molecule: transfer RNA, 678 nt
Filed under: uncultured cyanobacterium
Lineage: Bacteria; Bacillati; Cyanobacteriota
Description: partial 16S-23S intergenic spacer
Rfam family: tRNA (bases 240-312)
Source: RNAcentral
AGACAAAAACUGAUCUUGAUGUCUGAGAUAUUUUUCCUUAGGCCGAGAUCCUGUCACCUUAGGUCGAUCGGUACCUCAGAUUAGAGAAAAAUCAAUUUCUUUCUCUAAUUUCAGUUCCUAAACUUGUCUAGGUCACACCCCGCAAGGGUUACUCCUGGGCCAUUAGCUCAGGUGGUUAGAGCGCACCCCUGAUAAGGGUGAGGUCCCUGGUUCAAGUCCAGGAUGGCCCAUUCGGUGUUGGGGGUAUAGCUCAGUUGGUAGAGCGCCUGCUUUGCAAGCAGGAUGUCAGCGGUUCGAGUCCGCUUACCUCCACUGGCCGACCCCUUUCAGCAAAAAAGUUGAGAGCCUUUGUGUGAUGUGAUUUAGUCCUAAAUUCCACUGUUUGAACCUAGCUUCCUUUCAUUCAAACUUCUUAUGAAAGUUGUGUUGAAAGGAUGCUGGGCUCACUUCAAUUUAAAUUUAAAUUGAAGAGAUCUUCAGUAGAACCUUGACAACUGCAUAGGUGAGUCUGGAAAAGAAAAAAGCAUCUCAUGGAUGCAUUGUUUUCUUAUUACUUUUUCUUUGGUAAACCCACAGAAAAAUAUAGGGAAUAAUGUUAUUUUAUUGAGUAAAAGCCGAGAUCUAUCCUGAUUUAUUGCUAUUUUUUUAAUAGUUAUUUUAGAGAUAGAUAUCAUUUUU